RNAcentral lists this unclassified non-coding RNA (217 nucleotides) under Hevea brasiliensis (rubber tree). The record is from RNAcentral. Lineage: Eukaryota; Viridiplantae; Streptophyta; Magnoliopsida; Malpighiales; Euphorbiaceae.
AAUUGAUGCUUAGGCACUAUUCUUGGACUCACAAGAAGGAGAUAUACACAAUACAGAGCAGCGGCAUGAGCUUAUUUGAUCAGUAUCAAGAACUUGUUUUCCCCUUCAAGAAGAGCUACUCUCAGUACUUUGAGAUUGUUGGUUCUUGUAAUGGGAUUCUUUGUCUUUCUGAUACUUAUCGUGUCAAUUCUCACACUAUCAUUUUAUGGAAUCCCAC